This 463-nucleotide ribosomal RNA is filed under the name uncultured bacterium. Its description in RNAcentral is "bacterial SSU rRNA". It matches the Rfam family "Bacterial small subunit ribosomal RNA", at positions 28 to 507 of the family's 1533-position model. The record is from RNAcentral.
GACGAACGCUGGCGGCGUGCUUAACACAUGCAAGUCGAACGGAAAGGCCUUUUCGGAGGUACUCGAGUGGCGAACGGGUGAGUAACACGUGGGUGAUCUGCCCUGCACUCUGGGAUAAGCCUGGGAAACUGGGUCUAAUACCGGAUAGGACCGCACUUUAGUGUGUGUGGUGGAAAGGUUUUUCGGUGUAGGAUGAGCCCGCGGCCUAUCAGCUUGUUGGUGGGGUAAUGGCCUACCAAGGCGGCGACGGGUAGCCGGACUGAGAGGUUGGUCGGCCACAUUGGGACUGAGAUACGGCCCAGACUCCUACGGGAGGCAGCAGUGGGGAAUAUUGCACAAUGGGCGCAAGCCUGAUGCAGCGACGCCGCGUGGGGGAUGACGGCCUUCGGGUUGUAAACUCCUUUCGCCAGGGACGAAGCGUUUCGUGACGGUACCUGGAGAAGAAGCACCGGCUAACUACGUG